GCCUGUUUUACAAAAACAUGUCUGUGUGAAGUUAUAUAGAGUCUAACCUGCCCAUUGAAAUUUUUUAAGAGGCCGCGGUAUAUUAACUGUGCAAAGGUAGCAUAAUCAUUAGUUUUUUAAUUGAAGGCUUGUAUGAAGGGUUGGACAAAGAAUAAUCUGUUUCUGUUUUUAUUUUUGAAUUUGACUUUUAAGUUAAAAGGCUUAAGUAUAUUUAAGGGACGAUAAGACCCUAUAAAUCUUUAUAUAAAAUUAUCUUUAAUUUAUUUAUAAUGUAAGUUUAAUAUAAAGAUAAGAUAUAUUACAUUGGGGUGAUGAGAAUAUAUAAUAAACUGUUCUAGAUUCAAAACAAAUUUAUUUGUAUUAUAAAAUAGUAGAUCCUUUUUUAAGAUUAAAAGUUUAAGUUACUUUAGGGAUAACAGCGUUAUUUUUUUUGAGAGUUCAUAUCGAAAAAAAAGUUUGCGACCUCGAUGUUGAAUUAAAAUGUCUUUGUGGUGUAGGUGUUACAAAAAGAGAGUCUGUUCGACUUUUAAAUUUUUACAUGAUUUGAGUUCAGACCGGCGUAAGCCAGGUUGUUUUCU
Molecule: ribosomal RNA, 578 nt
Filed under: Iridonida pusilla
Lineage: Eukaryota; Metazoa; Arthropoda; Malacostraca; Decapoda; Munididae
Description: Munida pusilla partial 16S ribosomal RNA
Rfam family: Bacterial large subunit ribosomal RNA
Source: RNAcentral